Molecule: small nuclear RNA, 116 nt
Filed under: Ailuropoda melanoleuca (giant panda)
Lineage: Eukaryota; Metazoa; Chordata; Mammalia; Carnivora; Ursidae
Description: U5 spliceosomal RNA
Rfam family: U5 spliceosomal RNA
About the family: U5 RNA is a component of both types of known spliceosome. The precise function of this molecule is unknown, though it is known that the 5' loop is required for splice site selection and p220 binding, and that both the 3' stem-loop and the Sm site are important for Sm protein binding and cap methylation.
Source: Rfam by way of RNAcentral
AUACCUGGUUUCUCUUCACAUCAUAUAAAUCUUUUGCCUUUUACUAAAGAUUAUCAUAAAGAGGAACAGUUAUGAGUUUUUUUAGGGUUUUUAAAAAUGCAUAUGAUUUAUAUAGU